GAUACUUCAGAAAUGCUUAGAAAAAGUGAAUGGCAUCAAUGAACAUUUUAUUAACCAUUGUUAUUAUUAUUUAUGGUAAGUAUGCCCUGGGUCUAGCCUCCCUACUGUACACUUCAGUGACCUGCUUCUCUUCCUAAAACAGAGGGAACCAAAGAGAUAUGAUAGGCUUUAUGGACCUAGCUGUUUAAGGAGCUAAGAAGGCCCUGCAAACUCUGAUCUGUUUAUAACUUAAGUGCUCUGAAUACAGCAGAACUCUUGGUCUCCCUUUGAGCCUGAGUGAAUAUUUUAAAGGGUGAAUAUUUUAAAAGGUUGCAGAUAACCUACACCUCCUAACACCUUAGAUAAAGAGUAGUUUCUUAUAUCU
RNAcentral lists this long non-coding RNA (364 nucleotides) under Pan troglodytes (chimpanzee). RNAcentral describes it as "long non-coding RNA NONPTRT010348". Lineage: Eukaryota; Metazoa; Chordata; Mammalia; Primates; Hominidae. The record is from RNAcentral.